RNAcentral lists this ribosomal RNA (1033 nucleotides) under Chaenothecopsis montana. RNAcentral's name for it is "SSU rRNA". It matches the Rfam family "Eukaryotic small subunit ribosomal RNA", at positions 68 to 1105 of the family's 1831-position model. Lineage: Eukaryota; Fungi; Ascomycota; Eurotiomycetes; Mycocaliciales; Mycocaliciaceae. The record is from RNAcentral.
AGCAUCUAUACGGUGAAACUAGCGAAUGGCUCAUUAAAUCAGUUAUCGUUUAGUUUGAUAGUACUUCUUUACUUGGAUAACCGGUGGUAAUUCUAGAGACUAAUACAUGCUAAAAACCCCGACUCCGGGAGGGGUGUAUUUAUUAGAUAAAAAACCAAUGCCCUCCGGCUCCUUGGUGAAUCAUGAUAACUUAACGAAUCGCAUGGCCUUGCGCCGGCGAUGGUUCAUUCAAUUUCUGCCCUAUCAACUUUCGAUGGUACGAUAGUGGCCUACCAUGGUUUCAACGGGUAACGGGGAAUUAGGGUUCUAUUCCGGAGAGGGAGCCUGAGAAACGGCUACCACAUCCAAGGAAGGCAGCAGGCGCGCAAAUUACCCAAUCCCAACACGGGGAGGUAGUGACAAUAAAUACUGAUACAGGGCUCUUUAGGGUCUUGUAAUUGGAAUGAGUACAAUUUAAAUCCCUUAACGAGGAACAAUUGGAGGGCAAGUCUGGUGCCAAGCAGCCGCGGUAAUUCCAGCUCCAAUAGCGUAUAUUAAAAGUUGUUGCAGUUAAAAAGCUCGUAGUUGAACCUUGGGUCUGGCUGGCCGGUCCCGCCUCACCGCGUGCACUGGUCCGGCCGGACCUUUCCUUCUGGGGAGCCAGAUGCCUUCACUGGGCGUGUCGGGGAACCCAGGACUUUUACUUUGAAAAAAUUAGAAGUGUUCAAAGCAGGCCUAUGCUCGAAUACAUUAGCAUGGAAUAAUAGAAUAGGACGUGUGGUUCUAUUUUGUUGGUUUCUAGGACCGCCGUAAUGAUUAAUAGGGACAGUCGGGGGCAUCAGUAUUCAAUUGUCAGAGGUGAAAUUCUUGGAUUUAUUGAAGACUAACUACUGCGAAAGCAUUUGCCAAGGAUGUUUUCAUUAAUCAGUGAACGAAAGUUAGGGGAUCGAAGACAAUCAGAUACCGUCGUAGUCUUAACCAUAAACUAUGCCGACUAGGGAUCGGACGGUGUUGUUAUUUUGACCCGUUCGGCACCUUACGAGAAAUCAAAGUU